RNAcentral lists this ribosomal RNA (388 nucleotides) under uncultured bacterium. Its description in RNAcentral is "bacterial SSU rRNA". It matches the Rfam family "Bacterial small subunit ribosomal RNA", at positions 28 to 417 of the family's 1533-position model. The record is from RNAcentral.
GACGAACGCUGGCGGCGUGCUUAACACAUGCAAGUCGAGCGGUAAGGCCCUUUCGAGGGUACACGAGCGGCGAACGGGUGAGUAACACGUGGGUGACCUGCCCUCAGCUCUGGGAUAAGCCUGGGAAACUGGGUCUAAUACUGGAUAUGACUCCACGGUGCAUGUCGUGGGGUGGAAAGCCUUGUGCGGCUGAGGAUGGGCCCGCGGCCUAUCAGCUUGUUGGUGGGGUGAUGGCCUACCAAGGCGACGACGGGUAGCCGGCCUGAGAGGGCGACCGGCCACACUGGGACUGAGACACGGCCCAGACUCCUACGGGAGGCAGCAGUGGGGAAUCUUGCGCAAUGGGCGAAAGCCUGACGCAGCGACGCCGCGUGAGGGAUGACGGCCU